UGGAGACACACAUUGACUUUGAGAGACUAUUAGAAGAAUUAGGAUCAGAAGCAACCAAUCUUCCUGAUAUAUCACAAGGUUGGUCUGAUAGUUUGAGACAAGCAAUAGAUCAUGAAGCAAUGAGUCUGUCUCAGUCUCCAGAGACGUUUGGUACAUGGCUACUGAUUAAUAAACUAAAAGAAACAAAUGAUGAUAAGGUGAUUAAUGAGGUAAUUAGUGUGGGUGUAGUAUUACGAGAUUUGAUGUAUAUUAAUUAUCAAAAUUUAA
Molecule: long non-coding RNA, 267 nt
Organism: Amphimedon queenslandica
Lineage: Eukaryota; Metazoa; Porifera; Demospongiae; Haplosclerida; Niphatidae
Exons: 4
Source: RefSeq, a predicted model, not a curated record